CGGAUUCAUUGGGCGUAAAGGGUGCGUAGGCGGCGCGGUAAGUCGGGUGUGAAAUCUCGGAGCUUAACUCCGAAACUGCAUUCGAUACUGCCGUGCUUGAGGACUGGAGAGGAGACUGGAAUUUACGGUGUAGCGGUGAAAUGCGUAGAUAUCGUAAGGAAGACCAGUGGCGAAGGCGGGUCUCUGGACAGUUCCUGACGCUGAGGCACGAAGGUCAGGGGAGCAAACGGG
RNAcentral lists this ribosomal RNA (231 nucleotides) under uncultured bacterium. RNAcentral's name for it is "partial 16S ribosomal RNA". It matches the Rfam family "Bacterial small subunit ribosomal RNA", at positions 546 to 776 of the family's 1533-position model. The record is from RNAcentral.